Molecule: long non-coding RNA, 393 nt
Organism: Dreissena polymorpha
Lineage: Eukaryota; Metazoa; Mollusca; Bivalvia; Myida; Dreissenidae
Exons: 3
Source: RefSeq, a predicted model, not a curated record
AGGCUUAACAAUGAAGCUGUUUCACCUAGGCGCUGUCAGUUUGCUUGUUGCGAGCAUCUUAACGACCGCCUCCGCAUACUACUGGAAACCACCGAAGGGUCCUGAUAUUUUUUCGAUCCUGAUUUUCCUGUUCGUGUUUAUUAUCGUCAUUCGAGUUUUGUUCCCUGAUAAUGGCAAGAAAGGCGUCAAUUCAUAUCGGUAAACACUCAAGUUUUGGAGUGAAAGGCCAUUCACCAAUUUAGCUGAUGAUAUAAACUGUUUGUACAGAAUGUAUCAAUAAAGCAUUAUACCGAAACGUGGUGUCAUGCAUUUGUUUCAUUUUAUGUUUGAUUGUGUAUAAGAGAAAGAUGUCAUUCAAUUAAAUGUUUAAUGGACAGUGAAAAUAAGAGUGAU